GGAUCUUUCAGUACAUCCUUUCCCCCGGUCAGUUCCUUUCCUUGUUAUGGUCAAAUCAAAUGAUUUCUUUCCUACAUUGCAUUAACACACUAUCAAAUCAGUCUCGGUUUAUUUCCUUCUUGUGGUCAUUCCUUUCUCCCCGUGAUUCCAUCCUAGGGUCUGCGAUUCUUGGGCCAUCCAUCCCCGUCUUGAUAUGUCUGCUUGCCGUCCGCCAUCACUCCCAUCUCACGCGUCGCUGCCCCUGAAACCACCCACCCUUGCUCGCAAUUGUCUUCACGUGCAACAACACACUUCUAAAUCCGGGCGGUGAUGGCCGCCGAUGCCCCUCUCCUUCUUCCUGGCGCCUGCUCACAAGAGGUGAAAAGAACGACAUCGCCAUUGGUCGAGGGAAGAAGGAAGCCGGAUGAUGCAUGUAUUCCGCUCUGCACCAUAAUCCUCAUCUGGUACCUUGUCAACAACUACACCAAGCCGGUCGGUCCCCUUUCUUCUCUUCGAUUGUAGUCUUUUAUGGUUUGAUCCCAAUCGAAGUUUCAUUAACAUGUAAUUGAUAAAGAUGCUACAUAAGUUCUGAAAGAAAUACUCUUCCCUUACACCAUCACCAUUUUUGCAGAAAAAACCCAGGCUAGAUUUUCAGUGCCGUAUGUCUUAUGAAGACUCGAGUUGGAGGAUGAAGAGAGAAGGCCUAAUGAUUUAGUAUCUGAAGUCUGGGACAUGGUUAGCUGAAGAUCCCUUUGGUACAGGCAAGGUCAAUGUGCAAUAACUUGGUUCAUCACUGUCUGCUCCUUAGCUUGUUUUGCUGUGAGCUAUUAAUUUAUUUUGCUGCUUGGAAAGGCAGCUUAUUUGAAACUAAAAUUUCUAUGCUUGAAGGCCGAUAUCUGGGCAGAGAAAUAUCAAAAGGACAUGAAAGAUUACCAGCAAACUGUGUCCACGUGUGCUGGAUUUUCUGUAAAAUUGUGUUUUCAACCAAAAGAUAGCACUAAGCUGGGUUGGAACGCUUCAAGUAGUCACUUCUGGAGUUGCGGAACCAAAUUGUUGUACCGUACACAAGGGGAAAAUGGUGUAUGUUGUUAAAAUAUUAGUAGAGGUAAAGUGUCAUUGUAUUUGAAUUUCAGCUCAGGGGAUGUUGCAUCCUUUUUAGUGAUGAUCAGAAAUGUGAAUGUAGCCAGCUACAUAAUGAUUUGAUAAGAAAAAUGCACACCGAUUUAGAUACUGAA
Lolium rigidum is the source of this 1214-nucleotide long non-coding RNA. RefSeq lists it as uncharacterized. The record is from RefSeq and is a predicted model, not a curated record. Lineage: Eukaryota; Viridiplantae; Streptophyta; Magnoliopsida; Poales; Poaceae. The transcript is spliced from 3 exons.